GGAAGGUGGGGAUGACGUCAAGUCAUCAUGCCCCUUAUGUCCAGGGCUUCACGCAUGCUACAAUGGCUGGUACAGAGAGUGGCGAGCCUGUGAGGGUGAGCGAAUCUCGGAAAGCCGGUCUCAGUUCGGAUUGGGGUCUGCAACUCGACCCCAUGAAGUCGGAGUCGCUAGUAAUCGCAGAUCAGCAACGCUGCGGUGAAUACGUUCCCGGGCCUUGUACACACCG
RNAcentral lists this ribosomal RNA (226 nucleotides) under Trieres chinensis. RNAcentral describes it as "partial Bacterial small subunit ribosomal RNA". It matches the Rfam family "Bacterial small subunit ribosomal RNA", at positions 1168 to 1392 of the family's 1533-position model. Lineage: Eukaryota; Bacillariophyta; Thalassiosirophyceae; Eupodiscales; Parodontellaceae. The record is from RNAcentral.